UCUAAAUUUCUUCUUUAUUAUGUUUUGUGUGUUUCCUCUAAUUUUACUAUGAUCGAUAAAUAGUUUUUAAUGAAAAGAAAAUAAUAGCUUUUAUUUUGACACCACAGAUUGUUAGGUGUCUUCUCUGGCAACAAAUGUGAAUACACUGGGUGUUUUGUUUGUAAAACUGCCAAAGCUAUUUGCAUGGGUGCAGGCUAUUAUAGCUGGAGAGAACUACAAAAUAGCAACUAUUCUCAACAUUUUUUCAACAGCAAAACUCUUUCUUCAAAAGAAACCUUUAUUGAGAUGCUUACUAUGUCAACAAAGAUAAAAGCAAAGUGGUUCUCAUCCCAGUAGGGAUAAUAGGCCCAGCGUCCCAUCUUUUCCAUCUCCCCGCCCUCCUGAGAGCAGCUGAAGCCUGUUAGUGAACUCCCUAGGACUCUGUGAGACACCAUUUGUCAGGAUCCUGAUUUAGUACAACCUCUCUGUGCCGCAAGUGAAGAAUCAGGCACCGGGAGAGGCAGUGACUUGCAGGAAGUCAUCAGGGUUCCGGACCAGGGCAAAACAAAAAUUGCCAAUUUUCAUACCCCGGAGCUGAUUGCAUGAGAGACCUGCCCAGAAGAGAAAAGCACCUUUCCCUGAUGUUCUUGAGAUACCAAGACUAGAAAUAGGACCUGUGAUGCUGACCACGAGGAGUCACCCAUCCUCAGCGAUGCACUCAGCAAGCCAUAUGCGGAAUUCUGCCGGUUCAGCAAGAGCCUGGACAUCAUUUAUUAUUUGGAGGUUACCACAGCCUCCUUUUCCACCUUCAGACUCUGUGAAUCUCCUCUGAUCCCCACCUCCACCCUCAAGCUGCCUAGGCUUACAAGAAAUACUGGUAAACCCUUUCCCCUCGUUGCAAUGAAUCAAUGUCCCUGUGGCCUGCAGCCCUCAACCAUGUUUCACGUGGAGCCAGCUUUUGGAUGGAAGCAUAAAACCCCAAAUUUUGCCAAAGCUGUUCAGAGAACCCAAGGUGCUGGUGGAAGCUAGGGAGUGUUAAUCUCCACGUGCAAGGCCGGUUCCUACUCUGUCCUAGUGAUGAAGAACCAACCUGAUGUGCCUCAGAGUUUCAGUUUAGUACAAGCCUAAAGGCUUGGAUUUUGAAAAUAUAUCUGAACCCCUCAGAUGUGACAGAAUUGAACUGGAAAUCUACUUAAGCACCUAAAGAGAAUGGAAGGCUUCCGACUGCUACCUACAGAGAUGCCGGCCUGCCUGCUGCUGCUGCCACGGCUGAGAAGCCAAGACAAAGUUCCAUUGCCAGAGUUAAAUAAUACUCAUUCCUAAGUGCCCAGCCAAGCUUUCUGGUGCUCCCUAUCUCACAAGGGAUGAAACACAGGCAGUUUUCUUGAGCUUGAGAAUCAGGUCCAUAAGCCAAAGACACA
Long non-coding RNA from Bubalus bubalis (water buffalo), 1400 nucleotides. RefSeq lists it as uncharacterized. The transcript has 2 exons. Lineage: Eukaryota; Metazoa; Chordata; Mammalia; Artiodactyla; Bovidae. The record is from RefSeq and is a predicted model, not a curated record.